UACGUAGGGGGCAAGCGUUGUCCGGAAUCAUUGGGCGUAAAGCGCGUGUAGGCGGCCUGAAAGGUCAGCUGUGAAAACUCGAGGCUCAACCUCGAGACGUCGGUUGAAACCAUCUGGCUAGAGCCCGGAAGAGGAGUGUGGAAUUCCCGGUGUAGCGGUGAAAUGCGCAGAUAUCGGGAAGAACACCCGUGGCGAAGGCGGCACUCUGGGACGGUACUGACGCUGAGACGCGAAAGCGUGGGGAGCAAACAGG
RNAcentral lists this ribosomal RNA (253 nucleotides) under uncultured bacterium. RNAcentral's name for it is "partial 16S ribosomal RNA". It matches the Rfam family "Bacterial small subunit ribosomal RNA", at positions 524 to 776 of the family's 1533-position model. The record is from RNAcentral.